GGUGGCUCAUUGGUAGAGUGCUUGCCUUGCAUGCAUGAGACCCUGGGUUCGAUUCCUCAGUACCA
Molecule: transfer RNA, 65 nt
Filed under: Dipodomys ordii (Ord's kangaroo rat)
Lineage: Eukaryota; Metazoa; Chordata; Mammalia; Rodentia; Heteromyidae
Rfam family: tRNA
About the family: Transfer RNA (tRNA) molecules are approximately 80 nucleotides in length.
Source: Rfam by way of RNAcentral